UUGAACACCACCGCCUCUACACCAUGGGAGUGGGUUGCACCAGAAGUAGCUAGUCUAACUUCGGGAGGACGGUUACCACGGUGUGAUUCAUGACUGGGGUGAAGUCGUAACAAGGUAGCCGUAGGGAACCUGCGGCUGGAUCACCUCCUUAAUCG
RNAcentral lists this ribosomal RNA (155 nucleotides) under chlamydia-associated clinical sample 30-T. RNAcentral's name for it is "partial 16S ribosomal RNA". It matches the Rfam family "Bacterial small subunit ribosomal RNA", at positions 1381 to 1533 of the family's 1533-position model. The record is from RNAcentral.